Scylla paramamosain (green mud crab) is the source of this 2162-nucleotide long non-coding RNA. RefSeq lists it as uncharacterized. The record is from RefSeq and is a predicted model, not a curated record. Lineage: Eukaryota; Metazoa; Arthropoda; Malacostraca; Decapoda; Portunidae. The transcript has 3 exons.
AAUGAAUGAAGAUUUUAGAAGAUGGAAAGAUAAGCGAAAAUAAGAAAAGAGAAGUCAUUUUUUUUUCCUGGCCACGAGAAAUUUGGUAGCAGUCAUGUGUGGCCAGGGGAGAGUUGUCCAGGGUAGGCUUGGGUCGUCAUCAGGUUUGGCCAGGAUAGGUUUGGCCAGGGUAGGUUUGGUCGUCGUCGUCAGGAUUGUCCAGGGUAAGUUUGGUUUGUCAUCAAGUUUGUCCACGGUAGGUUUGGUCAGCAGGUGUGGCCAGGCGAGAUUUGGCUUCCGUUUAGUCAAUAUCAGGUUUGGCCAGGGGAGAUUUGGCCUUUUUGUCAUCAUCAGGUUUGGCCAGGGGAGAUCUGGCCUCCGUUUAGUCAAUAUCAUGUUUGGCCAGGGGAGAUCUGGCCUCCGUUUAGUCAAUAUCAUGUUUGGCCAGGGGAGAUCUGGCCUCCGUUUAGUCAUCAUCAUGUUUGGCCAGGGGAGAUCUGGCCUCCGUUUAGUCAAUAUCAUGUUUGGCCAGGGGAGAUCUGGCCUCCGUUAAGUCAUCAUCAGGUUUGGCCAGGGGAGAUCUGGCCUCCGUUUAGUCAAUAUCAAGUUUGGCCAGGGGAGAUCUGGCCUCCGUUUAGUCAAUAUCAUGUUUGGCCAGGGGAGAUCUGGCCUUUUUGUCAUCAUCAGGUUUGGCCAGGGGAGAUCUGGCCUCCGUUUAGUCAAUAUCAUGUUUGGCCAGGGGAGAUCUGGCCUCCGUUUAGUCAAUAUCAGGUUUAGGCCAGGGGAGAUCUGGCCUCCGUUAAGUCAUCAUCAGGUUUGGCCAGGGGAGAUCUGGCCUUCAUUUAGUCAAUAUCAUGUUUGGCCAGGGGAGAUCUGGCCUUUUUGUCAUCAUCAGGUUUGGCCAGGGGAGAUCUGGCCUUUUUGUCAUCAUCAGGUUUGGCCAGGGGAGAUCUGGCCUUCAUUUAGUCAAUAUCAUGUUUGGCCAGGGGAGAUCUGGCCUUUUUGUCAUCAUCAGGUUUGGCCAGGGGAGAUCUGGCCUUUUUGUCAUCAUCAGGUUUGGCCAGGGGAGAUCUGGCCUUCAUUUAGUCAAUAUCAUGUUUGGCCAGGGGAGAUCUGGCCUUUUUGUCAUCAUCAGGUUUGGCCAGGGGAGAUCUGGCCUCCGUUUAGUCAAUAUCAGGUUUGGCCAGGGGAGAUCUGGCCUCCAUUAAGUCAUCAUCAUGUUUGGCCAGGGGAGAUCUGGCCUUCAUUUAGUCAAUAUCAUGUUUGGCCAGGGGAGAUCUGGCCUCCGUUUAGUCAAUAUCAUGUUUGGCCAGGGGAGAUCUGGCCUCCGUUUAGUCAAUAUCAGGUUUAGGCCAGGGGAUAUCUGGCCUCUUUGUCAUCAUCAGGUUUGGCCAGGGGAGAUCUGGCCUCCGUUUAGUCAAUAUCAUGUUUGGCCAGGGGAGAUCUGGCCUCCGUUAAGUCAUCAUCAGGUUUGGCCAGGGGAGAUCUGGCCUCGUUUAGUCAAUAUCAGGUUUGGCCAGGGGAGAUUUGGCCUUUUUGUCAUCAUCAGGUUUGGCCAGGGGAGAUCUGGCCUCCGUUUAGUCAAUAUCAGGUUUGGCCAGGGGAGAUCUAGCCUUCAUUUAGUCAAUAUCAGGUUUGGCCAGGGGAGAUCUGGCCUCCGUUAAGUCAAUAUCAUGUUUGGCCAGGGGAGAUCUGGCCUCCGUUUAGUCAAUAUCAGGUUUGGCCAGGGGAGAUCUGGCCUCCGUUAAGUCAAUAUCAUGUUUGGCCAGGGGAGAUCUGGCCUUUUUGUCAUCAUCAUGUUUGGCCAGGGGAGAUCUGGCCUUCAUUUAGUCAAUAUCAUGUUUGGCCAGGGGAGAUCUGGCCUCCGUUUAGUCAAUAUCAUGUUUGGCCAGGGGAGAUCUGGCCUCCGUUUAGUCAAUAUCAGGUUUGGCCAGGGGAGAUUUGGCCUCUUUGUCAUCAUCAGGUUUGGCCAGGGGAGAUCUGGCCUCCAUUAAGUCAUCAUCAGGUUUGGCCAGGGGAGAUCUGGCCUUCAUUUAGUCAAUAUCAGGUUUGGCCAGGGGAGAUCUGGCCUCCGUUUAGUCAAUAUCAUGUUUGGCCAGGGGAGAUCUGGCCUUUUUGUCAUCAUCAGGUUUGGCCAGGGGAGAUUUGGCCUCUUUGUCAUCAUCAGGUUUGGCCAGGGGAGA